UUAUUCUUUUGCAGGCAACUCAGGUAGUCUACUAACUUUUCAUAUUGUUGUGGAAUUUAAGUUAUUUAUUUUUGAAUCAGCUGCUAACUAAGCAUAAAUUAAUCGCUUAAAAUGGUAAACUAUGAGCAACUUGGUUAGAACUGCUGAUUGGAAUUGAGCUUAACAACUAUUAGACUGUAUGCUGCACUCCUAAAUGUGUACUGCAGUAUAGCUUUAAGCCUUCGUUGUGGAUACCAGUUUUUGAUACCUGAACUGAAAAGAACUGAAAAAUAUGCCCUUUUCUCGGUC
Molecule: unclassified non-coding RNA, 288 nt
Filed under: Hevea brasiliensis (rubber tree)
Lineage: Eukaryota; Viridiplantae; Streptophyta; Magnoliopsida; Malpighiales; Euphorbiaceae
Source: RNAcentral